RNAcentral lists this ribosomal RNA (393 nucleotides) under Triticum aestivum (bread wheat). RNAcentral's name for it is "partial small subunit ribosomal RNA". The record is from RNAcentral. Lineage: Eukaryota; Viridiplantae; Streptophyta; Magnoliopsida; Poales; Poaceae.
AUGUUGAGAAGAAGGCACUACAAGAUACAAGAUGAUGACUACACGUGCUUGUUAUGCCAAAACCCUCUUGAGGAGGAUGUGGAACACCUUUUCUUCAACUGCCCCUUCAGCCGGAGAUGCUGGGAUAGCAUAGGGGUCCAGUGGCCGGUGGCUGAUUGCAGACUGGAGUUGCUACACGCUGGCAAAAACUCUUGGAGUGGGCCAAUGUUUAUGGAGUUGUUCAUAGUGGCGGCUUGGGGGAUUUGGAAGGAAAGAAAUGACAAGCACUUCAGAGGGAUUCAACCAACUUUGAGAUCUUGGAAGACCAGGUUUAAAAAUGACUUUGCUAUGUUGGUUCAUAGGGCCAAGCCAGAGUCUACCACAUUCAUUUUAUCUCUAGUUGCUGCAUUGUAA